GGAUGUGAGGGCCAUCUGGCUGUGACAUCUGUCACCUCAUUAAUUGCCAGGGCCAAUUCGGCUGAUCUGGCUGGCUAGGCGGGAGUUCCCAUCCUCCCUCACCACUCCAUGUGUUUCCCUCCAGAAGCUGCAAGCUUGGUCAAAGAAGAUCACCACCCGCACAAUCAGGCCCUUUUUCUCAGUCAAAGAUAUGCAAACAGCUGCGGUCCCCUGCCAAAGAAGUUCUCAAGAUGCCCUGUCUCCUCUGCUCAAAUGUCAGGGCAGAGAAGCUUCCUGUGACCAUACAGAACUAACAACUU
Molecule: small nuclear RNA, 299 nt
Filed under: Octodon degus (degu)
Lineage: Eukaryota; Metazoa; Chordata; Mammalia; Rodentia; Octodontidae
Description: 7SK RNA (ENSODEG00000023275.1)
Rfam family: 7SK RNA
About the family: 7SK was discovered as an abundant small nuclear RNA in the mid-70s but a possible function has only recently been suggested. Two independent studies have found that 7SK RNA binds the CDK9/cyclin T complex (known as elongation factor P-TEFb).
Source: Rfam by way of RNAcentral